RNAcentral lists this transfer RNA (73 nucleotides) under Deferribacterales bacterium. Its description in RNAcentral is "tRNA-Thr". It matches the Rfam family "tRNA". Rfam says of the family: Transfer RNA (tRNA) molecules are approximately 80 nucleotides in length. Their secondary structure includes four short double-helical elements and three loops (D, anti-codon, and T loops). RNAcentral also lists the same sequence under 1 other name. Lineage: Bacteria; Pseudomonadati; Deferribacterota; Deferribacteres; Deferribacterales. The record is from RNAcentral.
GCUGGUGUAGCUCAGUUGGUAGAGCAGCGCAUUCGUAAUGCGCAGGUCGCGGGUUCAAAUCCCAUCACCAGCU